GGAAACAUCUACCUAUUAUGCAUACAUAUAUAUAUGUAACAAUACACAUACCUGUAUGUCAGUAUUUCUAUAUGUAUAUAUGUGACCAUAUUUGUAUAUGCUUAUAUGCACACAUAAGAUAUCUGCAAAGUUAGCACAAGGUCAUCUAAAAGAAUAAAGCAAAGUACAUAAGAAAGUAAUUUUGAGCUGUAGGCAUUAGAAGCCAUAGAUACUAGAAGUCACCUCUUAUAGAAUACCAUGCCUUAGCCGAUUCCUGAAGAAAAUGAUGACUUCCAAGAGUUAGAAGUAUAAGGGAGAGGAUGUUAGACAUGGAUGGCAGUCAGUAAGUAAAUAGAGAAUAGACUCAAAAGGUGCAGUAUCUUCUAUAAAGAAGUUGGCAAUGCAAAAGAUGAUUUUUUUUUUACUGAUGAGGAAACUGAAGCUUAGACAGUCGACUUCCUUGACCAAGGGACUCUUAAAAAGUUCCCAGUUAUUCCUGCUGAGGUUAUUGCUUCAGUUGACAACUUCCUGGAAGUGAGACUGACUAGUGAAUGUGGUGCUGAUUGAACCAGAUUCCAUGAGAUGACUCUAACACCACCCCUAAGAAACAACAUUCUUCUCCCAUGAAUCUGAGUCAAGGAAGCAGGAAGCUGCUUACCACAAGAAAGAGUAGGUUAGAACAAAUAGCCUCUACUACAGUUGACAGGAUCCAGCACUGACUGAAUUUUUAGAGAUUGUUCCACCCCCUUUGCUGUUCUGCUCAUUCCUUUGCUACCAAUUUCCCAUUGUUAAAUAAAGAAAUUAGUGGGCACUAAAUCCUUGUGGUG
RNAcentral lists this long non-coding RNA (806 nucleotides) under Monodelphis domestica (gray short-tailed opossum). Its description in RNAcentral is "lncRNA (ENSMODG00000050749.1)". Lineage: Eukaryota; Metazoa; Chordata; Mammalia; Didelphimorphia; Didelphidae. The record is from RNAcentral.